This 271-nucleotide ribosomal RNA is filed under the name uncultured bacterium. RNAcentral's name for it is "partial 16S ribosomal RNA". The record is from RNAcentral.
CUGCUGCCUUCCGUAGGAGUCUGGUCCGUGUCUCAGUACCAGUGUGGGGGACCUUCCUCUCAGAACCCCUACGCAUCGUCGCCUUGGUGGGCCGUUACCCCGCCAACUAGCUAAUGCGCCGCAUGCCCAUCCUCCGCCGGAAUCGCUUCCUUUUAACACCCGUGGGAUGCCCCACAGAUGUACCACGCGGUAUUAGUCCGGAUUUCUCCGGGUUAUCCCCCUGCGGAGGGCAGGUUGCAUACGUGUUACUCACCCGUGCGCCGGUCGCCGG